RNAcentral lists this ribosomal RNA (252 nucleotides) under uncultured prokaryote. Its description in RNAcentral is "partial 16S rRNA". It matches the Rfam family "Bacterial small subunit ribosomal RNA", at positions 525 to 775 of the family's 1533-position model. The record is from RNAcentral.
ACAGAGGGUGCUAGCGUUAUUCGGAAUCACUGGGCGUAAAGGGCGCGUAGGCGGCCUGGUUAGUCUGAUGUGAAAGCCCUGGGCUCAAUCCAGGAAGUGCAUCAGAUACUGCUAGGCUUGGAGUAUGGGAGAGGAGGACGGAAUUCCUGGUGUAGAGGUGAAAUUCGUAGAUAUCAGGAGGAACAACAGUGGCGAAGGCGGUUCUCUGGACCAUUACUGACGCUGAGGCGCGAAAGCGUGGGGAGCAAACAG